CGGUGGUGGUGGUUAUGGCAAUCAGGACCAGAGUGGUGGCGGCGGUGGUGGCUACGGGGGAGGCCAGCAGGAUCGUGGGGGCCGUGGCAGGGGCGGUGGAGGUGGUUACAACCGAAGCAGUGGUGGCUAUGAACCCAGAGGCCGUGGAGGUGGCCGAGGAGGCAGAGGCGGCAUGGGGUAGGUGUCUCAUGAGCCAGGGAGUACCUUCAGUGGGGAAUGUUGCAUGGCUUUCUCUUGAAGUCAAUCCCUAGUGCAUGGUUAGUAUUGUUCUCUGGGCAUAUGUAAGGGCUUCAGUUUGUGGCCAGUAGUGUUUCUUUGUAUAUUCAUUGUGAGAACUUGGGAGCCAAAAUCUCAUUCAUAGCUCUCAGUAGAGAUUUGGGUAUUGGUGUAUUUAUUUCCAAAGAAAAAGAAUAUACACAGAUACAAAUGGGUGGAAGUCGUUAUCUCAGGCAAGAAACUUGGGAGUAAAGACUUGUUUGCAAGGGAAACCUAUUCCUGGGAAAUAUUAGGGAAACUUGUUCUGCGUAUUCAUUCCCAUGUGUCUUCCAAGGGAGUUGGUAAUGGUUAAACUUGACCUUAGCUUCUAGGAAUUAGCUAUUUACUCAUCUAUAUUCUGUAGUUACUUGAGUCAUGAGCCUGAUUUGCACUAAUUUGACUGAUUUGUGUGUGACUUGGUUCAUUUAUGGGGUCUUCUGACUGAAAUGUGCAGACUUGCAGGGUAAAUACACUUGACAGUGGUAUUCUGCUGUCUUAUUCCACUGUUCACCUUUUCUUGGUCAGACAUCAAAUCAACUUGUCCAACCGGAUCUCUUCUAGUUGAAGUAAAACCUUAGAUUUGAUGUUAAAACAGUUUGUCAAAUCUGUUGGUGACUUUAAAGGGACCUUAUCUUCCUUGAAAAGGGGAAAAUGUCAGUGGUAUUUCUUUUUUUGAAGAAAGUAGGUUUUUUGAGUUUGUACAUGGUAAGUAUUCAGAGGUGGGUGGGGGCAGUCUCAAUCAUGCAAAAAUAUGAAAAACUCUUGUUGUGUGCGUGUGUUUAAUGAAAACUUUAAAAAAAAAACAACUGUUAUGUGACUGUUAACUUGCUCUGCAUUUUAUGUGCCACAGGUAUGAAAGGUGACAUUGCAAAAUACUCCGCUCUUCUCACAGUGUAGAAGGGGUGACCCCGGGGGUGAAGGGUGAUUUAAAAACAGCUCAGUAGUUAGGAUAGGGCUUAGCUGAGUUUGUCUUGCUCUAAGGGGAAAUUGCCUUUGGUUAUGACUUUUUAUGGAAUGGGGUUGGGUCUGCUUGCUGCUUUCAAAGCAAAAACCACAAAACAAACAAAACAACAACAAAAAACACGUGUUCAGGGCUAUCCCAGGGCCUGGUGUGAAAUGUCUUCUGGGAAAUAUGGGGUAGAUCUUUUAAACCAACUGCUGGGUUGUCCACCACUUGCAACAAGAGGAAUAAACAUCUACGUCAGAAGAACAACCAAGGAAAAUGAGCUUUUUUUUUCCAGAGGAUGUAGAUACAACUUUUUAAAAGUAAAAUCCUUAACUGUGUCUGAGAAAUUGCACACGUGUGUGAUAAGCUCAAAGGUCAGACAAGGGUGGUCAGGAAGGGGUAUAUUUUAGUAGCCACUUGAAUCUUUUUCCCAAAACACCAACCCAUGUUUGGGGAAUAUUCAAACAAACAAACAAAAAAAACCAAAAAACCCAAAACCAAAACCCUU
RNAcentral lists this long non-coding RNA (1709 nucleotides) under Rattus norvegicus (Norway rat). Its description in RNAcentral is "long non-coding RNA NONRATT001246". The record is from RNAcentral. Lineage: Eukaryota; Metazoa; Chordata; Mammalia; Rodentia; Muridae.